Empidonax traillii (willow flycatcher) is the source of this 674-nucleotide long non-coding RNA. RefSeq lists it as uncharacterized. The record is from RefSeq and is a predicted model, not a curated record. Lineage: Eukaryota; Metazoa; Chordata; Aves; Passeriformes; Tyrannidae. The transcript has 3 exons.
UUCAUCAAACACCUUCAGGGAGAGCGAAUCCCCCGCCUCCCUGGUCAGUUCAUCCCAAUGUCUGUUCACCGUUUGUAUGAAGAAAUUCCUCCUAAUGUCCAACCUGGACCUCCCCUGGCGCAGCUGAAGACUAUGUCCUCUUGUCUUUUCCCUUGUGAGCUGGGAGAAGGGGCCGACCCCCGCCUGGCUACACCCUCCUUUCUGGUACCCCUGGGGAAGAGGAGGAGGCAGAUUUGAGCAAUGGACACUUUUACACAGUUGUUGAAAUAAAAAUCUUGUCUUGCUUCUGCUGCAUUUAUAACAUCUGAACUCUGUACAGGCAACGGAGCACGUGUUGGUUCUGUCCUGUGCUCUCUGCCCUGGAGCAACAACAAGUGCUGCUGGUCAAAAGGCUCUUAUUUUGUGAGUCUACCAAAGAGGGACUGCAAGUGGAAAAUGGGUGGAAGAAAAUCAACAGUACCACUCAAAAACAUUCCUUUCCUGUUCCAAUACUUGGACUUGAGUGUUCUUGUUAAAUCACCGUAUAGACUGGAAAUGCUUAGUGAUUUGUACAGAAUUGCAGGAAGAAGGAAAUCCCGUGAAAGCACACCAUUCCAGACCCAGAUGGACUUCUAUGCUUGACAAGGAGAAUUUUGCCACCAGUUCAAUUGAGAACACUUGGGGUAAACCUUCUG